UACGUAGGGUGCAAGCGUUGUCCGGAAUUAUUGGGCGUAAAGAGCUCGUAGGCGGUUCGUCGCGUCGGCUGUGAAACCCGGAGCUACACGUCCGGCCUGCGGUGGGUACGGGCAGACUAGAGUGAUGUAGGGGAGACUGGAAUUCCGUGGUGUAGCGGUGAAAUGCGCAGAUAUCAGGAGGAACACCGAUGGCGAAGCAG
RNAcentral lists this ribosomal RNA (200 nucleotides) under uncultured bacterium. RNAcentral describes it as "partial 16S ribosomal RNA". It matches the Rfam family "Bacterial small subunit ribosomal RNA", at positions 524 to 724 of the family's 1533-position model. The record is from RNAcentral.